AUUGAACGCUGGCGGCAGGCCUAACACAUGCAAGUCGAGCGGCUCGGCGGAAGGGUGAGUAAUGCCAAGGAAUCUGCCUGGUAGUGGGGGCUAAGGUCAGGAAACGGGCGCUAAUACCGCAUACUAUUAGAUGAGCCUAGGUCGGAUUAGCUAGUUGGGGGGGUAAAGGCCUACCAAGGCGACGAUCCGUAACUGGUCUGAGGGGAUGAUCAGUCACACUGGAACUGAGACACGGUCCAGACUCCUACGGGAGGCAGCAGUGGGGAAUAUUGGGCAAUUGGAUAAAGCCUGAACCAGCCAUGCCGCGUGUGUGAAGAAGGUCUUAGGAUUGUAAAGCACUAUAAGUUGGGAGGCGUUACCUACAGAAUAAGCACCGGCUAACUUCGUGCCAGCAGCCGCGGUAAUUC
This 407-nucleotide ribosomal RNA is filed under the name uncultured bacterium. RNAcentral describes it as "partial 16S ribosomal RNA". It matches the Rfam family "Bacterial small subunit ribosomal RNA", at positions 30 to 526 of the family's 1533-position model. The record is from RNAcentral.